AUGGGUGAAUCUCAUUCUCCUCCAUUAGCGAAAGUUGGCAAGUUGCCUGCAACGAACAAACCUUCUAUACACUCAGUUCCGUUUGAGGUUGAGCACAUUGACAUUGGUGAACCUGAAAAUCCAGGACCAAGAACCAGUAACAGGAGCUCUACAUAUCAACCAGUCACCACAGACCCAUUUUCCUCUUCGCCUGAUCCCAAUGACCAAGAUGAAAACCUAGACAUACUCGGCGAUGAUGACAAUGGCUCACCCAAUAAUAUGGCCUCAGCACAAGGGACGUCUUAUCACGGUUUUGACAUCAACUUACCAAAUCAGCUCGACAUGGAUGAUGAGGUUGCUGAUGUUGAUGUAAAUGACGAAGCUGAGGAGGGACUUAAUGCAGCUGAGGCGCUGCGAGCUCAAGUCAAUGCAGAAGGACGGCAGGUGGAGCAGGCCACCUCUAGUUCAAGUGGAAGCAGCAGCGGCAGCGGGAGCGGCAGCAGCACCAGUGGUAGUGACGGCAGUGAUGGCGAUUCACCCAGCUCCGGAGGGGAUGUUGAUAUAUGA
RNAcentral lists this ribosomal RNA (546 nucleotides) under Triticum aestivum (bread wheat). RNAcentral describes it as "partial small subunit ribosomal RNA". The record is from RNAcentral. Lineage: Eukaryota; Viridiplantae; Streptophyta; Magnoliopsida; Poales; Poaceae.